RNAcentral lists this ribosomal RNA (464 nucleotides) under uncultured bacterium. RNAcentral describes it as "partial 16S ribosomal RNA". It matches the Rfam family "Bacterial small subunit ribosomal RNA", at positions 28 to 507 of the family's 1533-position model. The record is from RNAcentral.
GAUGAACGCUGGCGGCGUGCUUAACACAUGCAAGUCGAACGGACAGGCCCGGCUUGCUCGGUGCUCGAGUUACGAACGGAUGAGUAACACACGGGUGAUCUGCCUCUAUCUUCGGCAUAAGCUAGUUAGACUGGGUCUAGUACCGGCUAGGACAUUCGUUUAACGGCGUUUUUGAAAAGUGUUUUCGGGUAUGGAUGGGCCUGCUGCCUAUGAGCUCGUUGGAGUGGUAAUUGGCUACCAUGGCGUCGAAGGGUAGCCGGCCUGGGAGGGUGGACGGCCACAUUGGGACUGAGAUACGGACCAGACUGCUACGGGAGGCAGUAGUGGAGAAUAUUGCACAAUGGGCGCAAGCCUGAUGCAGAGACGCUGCGUGGGGGAUGCCGGCCUUCGGGUUGUAAACCUCUUUCGACAGGGAUGAAGCUUUGGUGACGGUACCUGUAUAGGAAGCAACGGCUAACUACGUG